Molecule: long non-coding RNA, 1011 nt
Organism: Neogale vison (American mink)
Lineage: Eukaryota; Metazoa; Chordata; Mammalia; Carnivora; Mustelidae
Exons: 6
Source: RefSeq, a predicted model, not a curated record
GGUGCCCGGGCGACGUGUCCAGGCUUGCGGCUGGGCGAGGGAGGAAGAAAUUAACUUCAAGAUUCAAGGCCUUACAUUUGAGAAGGACUAAGGGCAAAGCCUUUGUUUUGUGUGCGGAUCUGUUGUUGGUGGGAACUCAGCUUAGCCGCUGAAGCCAAAGAACAUGUUCAGAUUCCAGUCUCUGCUUCACUGAGUGGGGCAAGAUCUUCAGGAUAUUUAUAUGGUUUCCUGAUUCAGUGACUGUAGUCCCCACUGUAAAGACUGGCCUACAAAGAAGAGUGAUUACAGAAGAGCUCUUUAAGGAUGCUAGGGCACUAUUCACAAUUUUUUUUCUGAGUUGUGGUGAAAGGUGUCUUCUGGACUCUGGUAUAUCACCUGGACUCUCAGAGUAGGGAGACUGAGAAAUUCAAGAUCUGUGGUCAGCAAGCUGGAGACCCAGAAGAGCUGAGGGCAAUUUUCCAAUUGAAGUUCAAAGGCCUGUGAACCAGGAGAGCAGCUGAUAUAUGUCUCAACCCAACUUUGAGUCCAAAGGUAGAAGACUGAUGUUUCAAGUUGAAGACCUUAAGGCAAAAACACUCCAGGUAAAAGCUGAUUCUCCCCAUAGCCGGGAAGGAUGCCAUCACUACCGCAAGAUGAAACAGGCACGCAAGAUUGAGAAGUGCUGGGGUGAAGCAACAUUCAGCUGUAUUUUCUUUGCUCUUCAGAUAAUAAUGACUCUGGGGAAGGAGGAGAAAACUCCAGAACUACUUUAUUCUCUUCAAAGCGCCAGCCUCAGGAGAACAAGAGGACAAGGCUCUUCGCAGACCAGGGAGCAAGAGCACACGCUGUCCCUGUGUCUUUAUUUUAUUAUAUUAAUGAUAUGAAGGUCAAAAAUUCCUUCCUUUAAAAAAAUAAAAAAAGAUGGAUAGUGGAUAGAAAAAACCUUAAUUGUGGCCUUAAAAUCAAAAAUUUAUUUUAUCUACAUUUUCUUUCUUUCCUUUUCUAAGAUUUUAUUUAUUUGAGAGAGAGAGA